RNAcentral lists this ribosomal RNA (516 nucleotides) under uncultured bacterium. RNAcentral describes it as "bacterial SSU rRNA". It matches the Rfam family "Bacterial small subunit ribosomal RNA", at positions 10 to 523 of the family's 1533-position model. The record is from RNAcentral.
AGUUUGAUCCUGGCUCAGAUUGAACGCUGGCGGCAUGCCUUACACAUGCAAGUCGAACGGUAACAGGUCUUCGGAUGCUGACGAGUGGCGAACGGGUGAGUAAUACAUCGGAACGUGCCCGAUCGUGGGGGAUAACGGAGCGAAAGCUUUGCUAAUACCGCAUACGAUCUACGGAUGAAAGCAGGGGACCGCAAGGCCUUGCGCGGACGGAGCGGCCGAUGGCAGAUUAGGUAGUUGGUGGGAUAAAAGCUUACCAAGCCGACGAUCUGUAGCUGGUCUGAGAGGACGACCAGCCACACUGGGACUGAGGCACGGCCCAGACUCCUACGGGAGGCAGCAGUGGGGAAUUUUGGACAAUGGGCGAAAGCCUGAUCCAGCCAUGCCGCGUGCAGGAUGAAGGCCUUCGGGUUGUAAACUGCUUUUGUACGGAACGAAAAGCUUCUUUCUAAUAAAGAGAGGUCAUGACGGUACCGUAAGAAUAAGCACCGGCUAACUACGUGCCAGCAGCCGCGGUAA